ACGGGGUGCAGCAGGCGCGAAACCUUUGCAAUGUGCGAAAGCACGACAAGGUUAAUCCGAGUGUCUCCUGCUAAAGGAGUCUUUUGUCAGUUGUAGAAUCACUGAUGAAUAAGGGGUGGGCAAGUUCUGGUGUCAGCCGCCGCGGUAAAACCAGCACCUCGAGUGGUCAGGAGGUUUAUUGGGCCUAAAGCAUCCGUAGCCGGUUGCAUAAGUUUUCGGUUAAAUCUAUGCGCUCAACGUAUAGGCCGCCGAAAAUACUGUGCAGCUAGGGAGUGGGAGAGGUACACGGUACUCAAUAGGAAGGGGUAAAAUCCUUUGAUCUAUUGAUGACCACCUGUGGCGAAGGCGGUGUACCAGAACACAUUCGACGGUGAGGGAUGAAAGCUGGGGGAGCAAACCGGAUUAGAUACCCGGGUAGUCCCAGCUGUAAACGAUGCAGACUCGGCGAUGCAUUGGCUUGUGGCCAAUGCAGUGCCGCAGGGAAGCCGUUAAGUCUGCCGCCUGGGAAGUACGUACGCAAGUAUGAAACUUAAAGGAAUUGGCGGGGGAGCAC
Molecule: ribosomal RNA, 553 nt
Filed under: uncultured Nitrososphaerota archaeon
Lineage: Archaea; Thermoproteati; Nitrososphaerota
Description: bacterial SSU rRNA
Rfam family: Archaeal small subunit ribosomal RNA
Source: RNAcentral